Molecule: long non-coding RNA, 1354 nt
Organism: Oreochromis niloticus (Nile tilapia)
Lineage: Eukaryota; Metazoa; Chordata; Actinopteri; Cichliformes; Cichlidae
Exons: 3
Source: RefSeq, a predicted model, not a curated record
AUAAAUUGGUCCAUAAUUCUAGAAAUGAGAGCUGCUCCAUCCAAAGUGGGAUGGAUGCCGUCUCUCCUAACAAGACCAGGUUUCCUCCAGAAGGUUUGCCAAUUAUCUAUGAUGUGACUGUUCUCCUCAGUGGUAAAGCAGCUGUCUCUACUCCUGUGUCUCUGUCUCAGGUGGUCACCGUCCCGUCCAGGUGAUCAUCACAGAAUCAGGAAACCAACCAGACUCCCACCCUGUUCAGUGGAACGCCCACUCGUCUGCACACAUCACCCACUACAUCCUUAAAUGGAGAGUAUAAAGUUUUUUAGAUUUGUUUUCUCUUCCUCCAUUAUUGAGCAAAACUUAAUAUCUUUUUUUCAUUGAUAAUAAUUUCAGCCUGUAAACUGAGCCUCAGCCAAUUAUCUUACAUCUCAUGUCAUCUUACAGGAAACUCUCACAGCCCGAGGAGAGAGGUGGCAGUUCCUGGCCAUCUAAACUCACAGACGAGGGUCAGCUGAUCAGUGUGCUGCAUUUUGGACACAAACAGGUCCACAUUUUGACUUCACCACCACUUAUGGAUCGUUGGCUACAACACGAGGUCAGACCAACCCUCUUCCACCUGUGGUUGACAUCUCAGAGUCUGUGACCGAUAUGACCUCCAGCAGCUUCAUCAUCUCCUGGGUUUCUGCCUCAGACACAGUUUCAGGUUUCAGAGUGGAGUACGGGCUCAUUGAGCAGGGACACAGCACUGGAUAGCCUGUGGUUCUUGGUAGGGGCAGAUACAGACAUUUACACUUUCAGUUCAAAAGUGUUGUGUGUUGAAAUUUUGCCUGAUUACAAAUUCUCCUGCUCAUCACAGGUUUGUUGAUACAAGAUAUUUGUUUCUGUCAGAUGUGUCCUGCAGCUACCUCUGUGAACAUUAAUGAGCUUCUCCCUGGUACACUGUUAAUGUCUGUGAGGUUACUGAGGGAGGCGAGGACAACCUCAUUCUUACUACCUGACAAACAACAGCACCUGAUGGUCUCAAAGAGCAUGAAGUGGAGGAAGUGGGAGAUCCAUCCAUCAUGAUCAGCUGGGAAAAACCACUGGCUCCCAUCACUGGUAAGCUAUGCUAACAUUUUCAGUCGCUGGCUACUGAACUCAUCGGCCUGCACACGGGUAACUGUGUGGUCAUCCUCUGUGAAGGUUAUUGUGUGGUCUACACUCCAUCAGUAGAAGGUGAAAUCACAGAGCUGAAUCUCCUGAUGCAGCAACGUCUGUCACUCUGAGUGACCUUUGACCAAGGAAACCUGUAAACCAUCAACACGAAUGAACCUGCUUCAGCUGCUGCUCCUUACUACCCACAGCCUCCACUGAUGGAUGUGUCAGCUCACCUGUA